RNAcentral lists this long non-coding RNA (1914 nucleotides) under Homo sapiens (human). Its description in RNAcentral is "MYC inducible lncRNA inactivating p53 (MILIP)". The record is from RNAcentral. Lineage: Eukaryota; Metazoa; Chordata; Mammalia; Primates; Hominidae.
AUGCGCAACCCGCGCGCCGUCGUCCCUGGCAACACUGGCUGCUCUAGCGCCUGGCGGGGUCUCACGGGCGGGCCUGGGCGCACGGCCAAAGCGCCAGGUCUCCACCCCCAGCCCCCGGCGUCCUGCAGCCGGAGCCUGCCUCGCCUGGCUCCUGCGCCCGCCGUCCAGGGCCCCUGUCCAAGCUCGCGGACGCCGGCGGCGUUUUCCAGCUCGAGUGCUCAGCCUAGGGCAGGCUCUGCGUGCGCCCCCUCGAGUGCCGGCCUGGGCCCUGCCAGGCAGAGGCGCUCUUGCGUCAGGACGGCGCCGCCGGGGCCCCGCGAUUCCAACUCGGGGGUCCCGGAGCGGCGCGGGGCGGGGACGGCCUGGCAGCUCCCAGCAGCGAGGGGCGAUCCCCGCCCGCGCAGCAGACCCCGAGCUGCCCAGGCCCUUCCUGCGCCACGUGUACCCAGAGCUCCGCCCGGGGGAGACUUCGCUGCUUGUUGGAGAUGCCCAGCGGUAGGGGGCGAGGACUCGGGAGGAAGAUAAACGGGGGAUCCCGUGUCUGGACUUUCUCCUCCACCCUCUUCCCUUCGCAGCUGUGAAUCCUGGGAGGGGAAGGGUGGCCGCCCCGCCAGCAGAGAGCUGAAGGUGUUCCGUGGUCAGUGAGGGCUGGCACUGGCUCUGCACGAAGAUCUCCUCACCUCCCCAGCGGCUCCUGGCCAGCUCCCCACGGAGAGCCCAGGACACUUGUCCCUGGACACAGUGGUGCAGCCAUGCUUGGGCCAAACCAUGAGGCCACCAGAACCGCGAAAGGCUACUGUACUGAGAGGGAUACUGCGAGAGAGGCCCACAGGUUUCCAAGCAUCCCUCUCACUCCGCACACUCAUCUCCACGACCGGCUUUAAGUGCGGCCUUGAGGCCUGGCUCCCUGUUUGGACUUCUCUGCACCUCCAGGAGCUCACUUCCCGUCACAGCUGGAUGCCUCCUCCCGCAGGCACCUCCCGGGCAUCCUCCCGCCCCAGGCUGCACCUUCUGUGGGACUGGCCCCCGCAGGCACCUCCCGGGCACCCUCCCGCCCCAGGCUGCAGCUUCUGUGGGACUGAGCCCCGCAGGCACCUCCCCGGCAUCCUCCCGCCCCAGGCUGCACCUUCUGUGGGACUGAGCCCCGCAGGCACUUCCCCGGCAUCCUCCCGCCCCAGGCUGCAGCUUCUGUGGGACUGACCUUAAGACCCCAUCGGUUCCUCCUGAGAGCAGCAGAUCUCAGCCAGAUGCUGCCGGGAGGGAGGUGCUAGCGUCCACACCCAGACGGGUCCAGUCCAGCCCUGCUCUCCCUGGUCUCCAGGCAGGGCCCUCCCAGGGUGGACAUUGCCCAUCUCUGCCUGGCCAGGGGCUGCUGACCCACUGGUUCCAGAGUCUGAGCCUGUCCUGCACAAGUACCAUGGACAGGGGUCAGCCGGGCACUGAAGAGGCGUGGCAGAAUUGGGCAGGGCAAGGGCCCCAGCUGGCAAGCUGGAGUCAGGGCAAUUCCAACCAAGAAACUGCGGCAGGCCGGGUGCAGUGUCUCAAGCCUAUAAUCCCAGCACUUUGGGAGGCAGUGGGAGAAUCGCUUGAGCCCGGGAGUUUGAGACCAGCAUUGGUAACAUAGAGACCCUAUCGCUACAAGAAAAAAAAAAAAAAAAAGCUGGGCAUGGUGGUGCACACCUGUUGUCCCAGCUAUUCAGGAGGCUGACGUGGGAGGAUUGCUUGUGCCCAGGGGUUGCAGGCUGCAGUGAGCUGUGAUCAUACCACUGCACUCCAGCCUGGGCGACAGAGAACCUCUCUAAAAAAAAAGGAAAAUGAAAAAUAAAUGGGGGCAGAAGCUGAGCCAAGCAGAGGCGGGCAGCUCCUCCUCCAGGGCCCACCUGGCCUGCUGGGGAAAAAAAAAAAAAAAAAAAA